This 327-nucleotide ribosomal RNA is filed under the name uncultured eukaryote. RNAcentral's name for it is "partial 18S ribosomal RNA". It matches the Rfam family "Eukaryotic small subunit ribosomal RNA", at positions 1470 to 1796 of the family's 1831-position model. The record is from RNAcentral.
CCCUUAGAUGUUCUGGGCCGCACGCGCGCUACACUGAUUCAUGCACUAAGUAUAUAACCUUGGUAGAAAUGCUUGGGUAAUCUUUGAAACUGAAUCGUGCUGGGGAUUGGAGCUUGUAAUUAUUCUCCAUGAACGAGGAAUUCCUAGUAAACGCGAGUCAUCAGCUCGCAUUGAUUACGUCCCUGCCCUUUGUACACACCGCCCGUCGCACCUACCGAUUGGAUGGUCCGGUGAAGCCUCGGGAUUGUGGUUCUUGCCGCUUUAUUGUGGCGUGACCGCGAGAACUUGUCUAAACCUUAUCAUCUAGAGGAAGGUGAAGUCGUAACA